Molecule: ribosomal RNA, 718 nt
Filed under: Stenotrophomonas sp.
Lineage: Bacteria; Pseudomonadati; Pseudomonadota; Gammaproteobacteria; Lysobacterales; Lysobacteraceae
Description: bacterial SSU rRNA
Rfam family: Bacterial small subunit ribosomal RNA
Source: RNAcentral
CUCAGAGUGAACGCUGGCGGUAGGCCUAACACAUGCAAGUCGAUCGGCAGCACAGGAGAGCUUGCUCUCUGGGUGGCGAGUGGCGGACGGGUGAGGAAUACAUCGGAAUCUACUCUGUCGUGGGGGAUAACGUAGGGAAACUUACGCUAAUACCGCAUACGACCUACGGGUGAAAGCAGGGGAUCUUCGGACCUUGCGCGAUUGAAUGAGCCGAUGUCGGAUUAGCUAGUUGGCGGGGUAAAGGCCCACCAAGGCGACGAUCCGUAGCUGGUCUGAGAGGAUGAUCAGCCACACUGGAACUGAGACACGGUCCAGACUCCUACGGGAGGCAGCAGUGGGGAAUAUUGGACAAUGGGCGCAAGCCUGAUCCAGCCAUACCGCGUGGGUGAAGAAGGCCUUCGGGUUGUAAAGCCCUUUUGUUGGGAAAGAAAUCCAGCUGGCUAAUACCUGGUUGGGAUGACGGUACCAAAGAAUAAGCACCGGCUAACUUCGUGCCAGCAGCCGCGGUAAUACGAAGGGUGCAAGCGUUACUCGGAAUUACUGGGCGUAAAGCGUGCGUAGGUGGUCGUUUAAGUCCGUUGUGAAAGCCCUGGGCUCAACCUGGGAACUGCAGUGGAUACUGGGCGACUAGAGUGUGGUAGAGGGUAGCGGAAUUCCUGGUGUAGCAGUGAAAUGCGUAGAGAUCAGGAGGAACAUCCAUGGCGAAGGCAGCUACCUG